GACGAACGCUGGCGGCGUGCUUAACACAUGCAAGUCGAACGGAAAGGCCCUGCUCUUGUGGGGUGCUCGAGUGGCGAACGGGUGAGUAACACGUGAGUAUCCUGUCCUUGACUUUGGGAUAACUUCAGGAAACUGGGGCUAAUAUAGGACAGGAGCUCCUGCUGCAUGGGGGGGGUUGGAAAGUGUCGGCGGUUGGGGAUGGCCUCGGGGCAUAUCAGUGUGUUGGUGGGGUAGUGGGUUACCAAGGCUUUGACGGGUCGCCGGCCUGGCAGGGUGAACGGCCCCAUUGGCACUGGGAUGCGGCACAGGCUCCUACGGGGGGCAGCAGUGGGGAAUGUUGCACAAUGGGCGGAAGCGUGAUGCAGCAUCGCCGCGUGCGAGAUGACGGCCUUCGGGUUGUAAACCGCUUUCGCCUGUGACGAAGCGUGGGUGACGGUAAUGGGUAAAGAAGCACCGGCUAACUACGG
Molecule: ribosomal RNA, 467 nt
Filed under: uncultured bacterium
Lineage: Bacteria
Description: partial 16S ribosomal RNA
Rfam family: Bacterial small subunit ribosomal RNA
Source: RNAcentral